Molecule: ribosomal RNA, 883 nt
Filed under: uncultured euryarchaeote
Lineage: Archaea; Methanobacteriati; Methanobacteriota
Description: bacterial SSU rRNA
Rfam family: Archaeal small subunit ribosomal RNA
Source: RNAcentral
AGCCACUGCUAUCGGAGUCCGACUAAGCCAUGCGAGUCGAGGGGACCUUUUCUGAGGUCACCGGCGAACGGCUCAGUAACACGUGGCUAACCUACCCUCGGGUGGGGGAUACCCUCGGGAAACUGAGGCUAAUUCCCCAUAGGUCUAGGUUGCUGGAAUGCUCCUAGGCCGAAAGCUCCGGCGCCCGAGGAUGGGGCUGCGACCUAUCAGGUUGUAGUGGGGGUAACGGCCCCACUAGCCUACGACGGGUACGGGCCAUGAGAGUGGGAGCCCGGAGAUGGACCCUGAGACAAGGGUCCAGGCCCUACGGGGCGCAGCAGGCGCGAAACCUCCGCAAUGCGCGCAAGCGCGACGGGGGGACUCCGAGUGCCCUAGCUUUUGCUAGGGCUUUUCCGGAGCCUAAAAAGCUCCGGGAAUAAGGGCUGGGCAAGACGGGUGCCAGCCGCCGCGGUAAUACCCGCAGCUCGAGUGGUGGCCACUAUUAUUGGGCCUAAAACGUCCGUAGCCGGCCUGGUAAAUGCCUGGGUAAAUUGACGGGCUCAACCCGUCAAAUUCCGGGCAGACUGCCAGGCUUGGGACCGGAGGAGGGAGAGGGUACUCCAGGGGUAGGGGUGAAAUCCUGUAAUCCCUGGGGGACCACCUGUGGCGAAGGCGCUCUCCCAAGACGGGUCCGACGGUGAGGGACGAAGCCCAGGGGCGCAAACCGGAUUAGAUACCCGGGUAGUCCUGGGUGUAAACGCUGCCCGCUUGAUGUUGGGCAAGCUUCGGGCUUGCCCAGUGUCGGAGCGAAGGCGUUAAGCGGGCUGCCUGGGGAGUACGGCCGCAAGGCUGAAACUUAAAGGAAUUGGCGGGGGAGCGCUGCAACGGGUGGAGCGUGCGGUUU